This 1039-nucleotide long non-coding RNA is filed under the name Nicotiana benthamiana. RNAcentral's name for it is "long non-coding RNA (NBEN_LNC022228)". The record is from RNAcentral. Lineage: Eukaryota; Viridiplantae; Streptophyta; Magnoliopsida; Solanales; Solanaceae.
UUCCCCUUCCCCACUUUUCUAUUUUAUUCUCUGACCACGGCUAAGCUAAGGAGAUCGAUAAUGACAAAAAAGAGCGUGAGAAAAUCCAACCGCUUCUCUAUUCUCAUACAGAAGAGGUAAGCUUAUAUCUCUGUAUUUUAGGGCUUCUAGAUCUUUUUAUACCUACUUCACUUGAAUUUUUGGGUACAAUUUUGUAGAUUAUUCCAGCAAUUUGGUAGAUAUUGUAUCUUCUUUUUUACUCUUUGAUUGAGAACUUGAACACAAGAACAACAACAACAAUAACCCAGUAUAAUCUCACUUAGUGGGGUCUGGGGAGGGUAGUGUGUAUGCAGACCUUACCCCUAACCUUGGGUAGAGAGGCUGUUUCUCGAAGAACUUCCCACCUUACUCUUGGGGGACUCGAACUCACAACCCCUCAGUUGGAAGUGGGGUUGCUUACCAUCAGAGCAACCCCUCUUGUCUUGAACAGAAGAACAAUAUUACAAAAUUGGGAUGAAGAUAAUUUAAUGGCGUAACUGGUAAAGUUGCAUGACAAGAAGGUCAUGGGUUCGAGCCGUGAAAACAACCUCUUACAGAAAUGUAAGGUAAGGAUGCGUACGAUAGACCCUUGUGGUCCGGCCCUUCCCUGAACCGAUGCAUAGCGGGAGUUUGGUACACCGGACUUCUUUUUGGGACGAAGAUAAUUUAAGUUGUUUAAAAAGUGUUCAAAUUUUUCUUUUUUAGUUCAUUUGUUGCUUUGUAUUUUUUUUCAUUUUAUUAUAUGUUAGAAAUUCAUGUAAAAUAUUUAUCAAGGCAUGUUUGUUGUCUGCUUGAAAUUAUUCUAUUAAUGUUUUUACUAACUGAACUUAUAUCUUUGUGUUAAAGAUUGAAUUCAAUAGUAUCUGUUAAAAAUAUAUGAUCAAUUAUUUUUACUUCGUGGUGUUAAAAAUAAAUUUUUUUUUGACAGGCAGAUUGGUGGAAGUUAGAGCAAUGAGAAAUUAAAGAUCAAGAUAAGGUGAAGUUGAAGAUCUGAGGAGUGAAAGAAGAAACGGUAUCUCAA